CCUACGGGAGGCAGCAGUGAGGAAUAUUGGUCAAUGGACGCAAGUCUGAACCAGCCAAGUCGCGUGAGGGAAGACGGUCCUAUGGAUUGUAAACCUCUUUUGUCGGGGAGCAACGAGGCCACGUGUGGCCGAAGUGAGAGUACCCGAAGAAACAGCAUCGGCUAACUCCGUGCCAGCAGCCGCGGUAAUACGGAGGAUGCGAGCGUUAUCCGGAUGUAUUGGGUUUAAAGGGUGCGUAGGCGGAACAUUAAGUCAGCGGUAAAAUCGAGGGGCUCAACCCCUUUAAGCCGUUGAAACUGGUGAGCUUGAGUGGGCGAGAAGUAUGCGGAAUGCGUGGUGUAGCGGUGAAAUGCAUAGAUAUCACGCAGAACUCCGAUUGCGAAGGCAGCAUACCGGCGCCCGACUGACGCUGAGGCACGAAAGCGUGGGGAUCGAACAGGAUUAGAUACCCCAGUAGUC
This 459-nucleotide ribosomal RNA is filed under the name uncultured bacterium. RNAcentral's name for it is "partial 16S ribosomal RNA". It matches the Rfam family "Bacterial small subunit ribosomal RNA", at positions 338 to 795 of the family's 1533-position model. The record is from RNAcentral.